Molecule: ribosomal RNA, 571 nt
Filed under: Catatropis onobae
Lineage: Eukaryota; Metazoa; Platyhelminthes; Trematoda; Plagiorchiida; Notocotylidae
Description: partial large subunit ribosomal RNA
Source: RNAcentral
AACCGCUCAGAGGUAAACGGGUGGAGUUGAACUGCGAACCCCGAGAAUUCAACUGGUGAGUGUGGUAUGAGCUUGGCAUAAUGGUUGGCUUUGCGGGUCUGCUUAGCUGCAGGUCUUCACCUCUUGGUGGAGAUGCGCGAUACACUUGUCAAGUGGUGCGCGCUCGUUGAGUUACUCGGACAUGCUUGCCAGUGCACUUUCUCGGGGUGUUCACCACGACCGGCGCCGCUACUUGUCUAAUAUGGUUAAACCGGUCUUGCUUGGUCCUUGUGGCUUUGCUUGAUCGGGAUGGCAGGUAACUCGUUAACUUGUGUGUUGGCUUCGGUUGACAUGCGCUUGGUUUUCGAGUGUAAUCAGCUGACUGUAUUGGUGCUAUGUAGUGCGUCGGAGACGGCGGCUUGUGGUGUGUGCCUGCGUGCCUAUUUGCUGACGGAACCGGGUUUGGUUAUUUUGUUGCCUGUUCUGCAGGCCUGGUGAUGGCCCGGUUUCGCUUGGUGGAUGGGGGCGUGUGUGACACUUAUCAGGGCCUAUAGUCUGUGGUGUUGUGGUAGACUAUCCACCUGACCCGUCU